This is a long non-coding RNA of Gadus macrocephalus (Pacific cod), 339 nucleotides long. RefSeq lists it as uncharacterized. The record is from RefSeq and is a predicted model, not a curated record. The transcript is spliced from 2 exons. NCBI's taxonomy places the organism in Eukaryota, Metazoa, Chordata, Actinopteri, Gadiformes, Gadidae.
UAAAUCAGCUGAAUUUCUUCUGCGGCACUUUGAGCAGGCAAACAUCUGAUCAAUAAUUCUAACGGCAGAUGUGUUUUCACAAUAAGAGCAAAGUGAAUGUGUAUCCACAAUAAGAGCGUGGGUAGGCGUUUCCCAAAAUAAGAGCAUGAGGAGGUGUUUCCACAAUAAGAGCGUGAGGUGGUGUUUCCCAAAAUAAGAGCAUGAGGAGGUGUUUCCACAAUAAGAGCAUGAGGAGGUGUUUCCACAAUAAGAGCGUGAGGAGGUGUUUCCACAAUAAGAGCGUGAGGAGGUGUUUCCACAGUAAGAGCGUGAGGAUGUGUUUCCACAAUAAGAGCGUGA